UUCUUGCACUGACAAAGGCCUAUUCCAUUCC
RNAcentral lists this non-coding RNA (31 nucleotides) under Homo sapiens (human). The record is from RNAcentral. Lineage: Eukaryota; Metazoa; Chordata; Mammalia; Primates; Hominidae.